This 1457-nucleotide long non-coding RNA is filed under the name Anolis carolinensis (green anole). RNAcentral's name for it is "lncRNA (ENSACAG00000045078.1)". Lineage: Eukaryota; Metazoa; Chordata; Lepidosauria; Squamata; Anolidae. The record is from RNAcentral.
AGCAUUGAGGGAUUGUACUGGAACCUGCCCUUUCUCCUCUUUUUUAGGCAUUUUAGUGAUACAUUUCCUUUGAAGGGGACAAUGUGUCACUGAAUAUCAUCAUGCUGCAUUAAAUAAGGUAUCACUUUGCCUUUGCACGAUGGGAUUCCCAAUUCAGAGGGGGGCUUUGUCACCAUGGCAACCAGAAGAUAACCCAGCAUGAGUCAGCCAGUCCCCCUCCUUCCCACAAAUCCAUUAAAAUAAACUAGGCAUGGAAUUAGGGGCAGCAUUUGAAGUCCACACUGAGGAUUGGAGACUCUGUCAGGAAACAUCUUUGAUCACCUUGACUGGACCCUGCUGUGUAUCAGAUUGGUUUUCUCUGCAUUUUCAACUGGAUGGCAAAAGGGCUCAAAGAAGGAGCAACUUGAGUCGCUUCUGGAGUGAGAGAAUUGGCCGUCUGCAAGGACGUUGCCCGGGGGACGCCCGGAUGUUUUGAUGUUUUUACCUUGUGGGAGGCUUCUCUCAUGUCCCCACAUGGAGCUGGAGCUGAUAGAGGGAGCUCAUCCGCACUCUCCCCGGGUGGGAUUCGAACCUGGCAGCUUUCAGGUCAGCAACCCAACUUUCAAGUCACUUAGUCCACUACGCCAUCUGGGGGCUCCCACUCAGCUUCAUUGAAAGGGUGUUGAGGAGAAAUGAUGCCAAAAAGGGUGGUUUCUAAAGUCUGAUGCCUCAACCCAGGUGUUAUUGAAGGAUCUGAAGACAAAUGAUGCCAGAAAAGGUGAUUUCUUAAGUCUGAUGCCUUAAACCCAGGUAUUAUUGAAGGAUCUGAUGAUGAUCAUGAUGAUGAUGAUAAAACUUUAUUUAUAUCCCACCACCAUCUCCCAUAUGGACUCAGGGCAGCUUACAAAUCGCACACAAUGGUGCCGUAUAACACAUAAAAUCAAUAUAUGAAAUCAAUAACACAUUUACAUAAAAUCAGACAUAUAAAAUUAACAAAAGCAACCUUUAUUAAUAGAGUCAGUAAAAUAUGGCUAUAGCCUUUGAUUAAGAGAUCCAUACAAUCAUUUUAGCAUCCCAGCUGUAUAUUUAUUUAUUCAUUUAUUAAAGUAUUUAUAUUCCGCCCUUCUCACCCCGAAGGGGACUCAGGGCGGAUUACAAUGAACACAUAUAUGGCAAACAUUCAAUGCCAACAGACAAACAACAUAUAUAGACAGACACAGAGGCAUUUAACAUUUUUUUCCAACUUCACGAUUCCGGCCACAGGGGGAGCUGUUGCUUCACUGUCCACUAGUGGCUGUACUUCCUCAUUCCUUUCCUCGUGUUUUGCUGGCAGUUUUAUGAUGUUGUAAAUUAGUUAAAUUAGCCUCCCACAUAAAGUGUACCUAAAUUUUCCUACUUGACAGAUGCAACUGUCUUUCGGGGCUGCAUAGGUCAACAGCAAGCCGGGCUAUUUAAUGGUUGGGGGCUUAACCCGACCU